AUUGAACGCUGGCGGCAUGCUUUACACAUGCAAGUCGAACGGCAGCAUGGGUGCUUGCACCUGAUGGCGAGUGGCGAACGGGUGAGUAAUGUAUCGGAACAUAUCCGCAAGUGGGGGAUAACGUAGCGAAAGUUACGCUAAUACCGCAUAUUCCCUGAGGGGGAAAGGAGGGGAUCCGCAAGGACCUUUCGCUUACGGAGUGGCCGAUAUCAGAUUAGCUAGUUGGUGGGGUAAAGGCCUACCAAGGCGACGAUCUGUAGCGGGUCUGAGAGGAUGAUCCGCCACACUGGGACUGAGACACGGCCCAGACUCCUACGGGAGGCAGCAGUGGGGAAUUUUGGACAAUGGGGGCAACCCUGAUCCAGCCAUGCCGCGUGAGUGAAGAAGGCCUUCGGGUUGUAAAGCUCUUUCAGCUGGAAAAAAAUCGCAUCACCUAAUACGUGGUGUGGAUGAUGGUACCAGCAGAAGAAGCACCGGCUAACUACGUGCCAGCAGCCGCGGUAAUACGUAGGGUGCGAGCGUUAAUCGGAAUUACUGGGCGUAAAGCGUGCGCAGGC
This 557-nucleotide ribosomal RNA is filed under the name uncultured bacterium. RNAcentral's name for it is "bacterial SSU rRNA". It matches the Rfam family "Bacterial small subunit ribosomal RNA", at positions 28 to 576 of the family's 1533-position model. The record is from RNAcentral.